UACGUAGGGGGCAAGCGUUGUCCGGAUUUAUUGGGCGUAAAGAGCGUGUAGGCGGCCAAGCAGGUCAGCUGUGAAAACUCGAGGCUCAACCUCGAGACGUCGGUUGAAACCGCUUGGCUAGAGUCCGGAAGAGGAGAGUGGAAUUCCCGGUGUAGCGGUGAAAUGCGCAGAGUAUCAGGAGGAACACCGGUGGCGAAGGCGGGUCUCUGGGCCUUACCCUGAC
RNAcentral lists this ribosomal RNA (223 nucleotides) under uncultured bacterium. Its description in RNAcentral is "partial 16S ribosomal RNA". It matches the Rfam family "Bacterial small subunit ribosomal RNA", at positions 524 to 744 of the family's 1533-position model. The record is from RNAcentral.